Molecule: long non-coding RNA, 237 nt
Organism: Silurus meridionalis
Lineage: Eukaryota; Metazoa; Chordata; Actinopteri; Siluriformes; Siluridae
Exons: 3
Source: RefSeq, a predicted model, not a curated record
CAUCUGAAAGAAGAAGCCUUAUAUUGGAUCCCCUGGGAAAUUAUUCGAAAAAACUUCAACAGUGUUUGCAGUCCACAAGGGCCUUCAUCAGAAAACAAGGCUGCCAUGUAUCCAGGUGGGCAUCCAGCACAGAUGCACACUGUUGUCAGGAAGAUGCCACCUCAUGUGGGAUAUUUGUCCUGAAAUAUGCAGAGGAACUACUGUCAGAGGAGCCUCUGACAUUCGCUAACAACACUG